Molecule: ribosomal RNA, 367 nt
Filed under: uncultured organism
Description: bacterial LSU rRNA
Rfam family: Bacterial large subunit ribosomal RNA
Source: RNAcentral
CUUUACUGUAGCCUGGUAUUGGGUUCGGGCUUUGACUGCGCAGGAUAGGUGGGAGACUAUGAAGCUGCCCUUGUGGGGGCAGUGGAGUCAUCAGUGAGAUACCACUCUGUCAAGGCUAGAAUUCUAACCGUCUGCCGUUAUCCGGCGACGGAACAGUAUCAGGUGGGCAGUUUGACUGGGGCGGUCGCCUCCUAAAUGGUAACGGAGGCGCGCAAAGGCUCCCUCAGGCUGGUUGGAAAUCAGCCGAAGAGUGUAAAGGCAGAAGGGAGCUUGACUGCAAGAGCAACAACUCAAGCAGGGACGAAAGUCGGCCUUAGUGAUCCGACGGCACGGAGUGGAAGGGCCGUCGCUAAACGGAUAAAAGUUA